CCCACCCUGGCCCCGCCCCGGAGGCCCUGUCCCCUCCAUGCAGGGCCCGCAGCGUGCCUGAGCUCCCACAGUCCUGAAUUCCAGCUCCAAGGGGACACGGGGAGGGCCCGAGGCCCCAACGGGGAAACACAAAGACUUAGUGACGGCAGCACACGUCAAGGUCUGUGUUUCCUUCCUCAAAUGCUUCUCAUGCUCGGCUCCACAUCUGCCUCUUGAAGGAAGAUUUAAAAAUCUCACUGACCUGGCCCCACCUCCUCUGAACUAGAUCGGAACAUCAAGAGGGCAGCACCAGCUGAUUUGAAUUUCCACCACCAGCUAUACACCGUGAACCAGCUGGGGCCCCGAGACCGGGGGUAGGAGCUUCGCUGCAAUCUCCGUGAUCAGGUUCAGCUAGAGACAGUGACCCACACACAGACUGAGAAUGAGGUGACGCAGGGGGCCAUGGCCAGCUCUGGGAGCUUAAUAAUACAGUCGUAAAUAAAGGUAAUAAUAAUA
Molecule: long non-coding RNA, 495 nt
Organism: Neofelis nebulosa (Clouded leopard)
Lineage: Eukaryota; Metazoa; Chordata; Mammalia; Carnivora; Felidae
Exons: 4
Source: RefSeq, a predicted model, not a curated record